This 74-nucleotide transfer RNA is filed under the name Candidatus Zambryskibacteria bacterium RIFCSPHIGHO2_02_FULL_39_16. RNAcentral's name for it is "tRNA-Met". It matches the Rfam family "tRNA". Rfam says of the family: Transfer RNA (tRNA) molecules are approximately 80 nucleotides in length. Their secondary structure includes four short double-helical elements and three loops (D, anti-codon, and T loops). The record is from RNAcentral. Lineage: Bacteria; Candidatus Zambryskiibacteriota. RNAcentral also lists the same sequence under 1 other name.
AGCGGGUUGGAGGAGUAGUACCUCGACAGGCUCAUAACCUGUAGGCGUCCGUGCAAAUCGGGCACCCGCAACCA